Molecule: ribosomal RNA, 785 nt
Filed under: uncultured Verrucomicrobiota bacterium
Lineage: Bacteria; Pseudomonadati; Verrucomicrobiota
Description: bacterial SSU rRNA
Rfam family: Bacterial small subunit ribosomal RNA
Source: RNAcentral
GGAUAAGACAUGCAAGUCGAACGCUGAUUACGUGGCAGCAAUGUUGCGUAAUCGGAGUGGCGCAAGGGUGCGUAACAACGUGGGCAAUCUGCCGUGAAGUUGGGGAUAACCUCGAGAAAUCGAGGCUAAUACCGAAUGUGACGAUUCCGAGGCAUCUUGGAAUCCUUAAAGCUGGGGACCGUAAGGCCUGGCGCUUCAUGAUGAGCCCGCGGCCUAUCAGCUAGUUGGCGGGGUAACAGCCCACCAAGGCAAAGACGGGUAGCUGGUCUGAGAGGACGACCAGCCACACUGGAACUGAGACACGGUCCAGACACCUACGGGUGGCAGCAGUCGAGAAUUUUUCACAAUGGGCGAAAGCCUGAUGGAGCGACGCCGCGUGGGGGAUGAAUGGCUUCGGUCCGUAAACCCCUGUCAUUCGCGAGCAAUGUCUCGGGUCUAAUACAUCCGGGAUUGAUAGUAGCGAAAGAGGAAGGGACGGCUAACUCUGUGCCAGCAGCCGCGGUAAUACAGAGGUCCCAAGCGUUGUUCGGAUUCACUGGGCGUAAAGGGUGCGUAGGUGGCGAGGUAAGUUCGGUGUGAAAUCCCCAGGCUCAACCUGGGAACUGCAUUGAAACUCUCUCGCUAGAGGAUCGGAGGGGAGACUGGAAUUCUUGGUGUACCAGUGAAUGCGUAGAUAUCAAGAGGAACACCAGUGGCGAAGGCGAGUCUCUGGACGAUUCCUGACACUGAGGCACGAAAGCUAGGGGAGCAAACAGGGAUUAGAUACCCUGGUAGUCCUAGCCGUA